This 27-nucleotide ribosomal RNA is filed under the name Cortinarius disjungendulus. Its description in RNAcentral is "partial 28S ribosomal RNA". Lineage: Eukaryota; Fungi; Basidiomycota; Agaricomycetes; Agaricales; Cortinariaceae. The record is from RNAcentral.
AAUGUGACCUCAAAUCAGGUAGGACUA